GGAUGAACGCUGGCGGCGUGCCUAAUACAUGCAAGUCGAGCGAACAGACGAGGAGCUUGCUCCUCUGACGUUAGCGGCGGACGGGUGAGUAACACGUGGAUAACCUACCUAUAAGACUGGGAUAACUUCGGGAAACCGGAGCCAAUACCGGAUAAUAUAUUGAACCGCAUGGUUCAAUAGUGAAAGACGGUUUUGCUGUCACUUAUAGAUGGAUCCGCGCCGCAUUAGCUAGUUGGUAAGGUAACGGCUUACCAAGGCAACGAUGCGUAGCCGACCUGAGAGGGUGAUCGGCCACACUGGAACUGAGACACGGUCCAGACUCCUACGGGAGGCAGCAGUAGGGAAUCUUCCGCAAUGGGCGAAAGCCUGACGGAGCAACGCCGCGUGAGUGAUGAAGGUCUUCGGAUCGUAAAACUCUGUUAUUAGGGAAGAACAAAUGUGUAAGUAACUAUGCACGUCUUGACGGUACCUAAUCAGAAAGCCACGGCUAACUACGUG
This 498-nucleotide ribosomal RNA is filed under the name uncultured bacterium. RNAcentral's name for it is "partial 16S ribosomal RNA". It matches the Rfam family "Bacterial small subunit ribosomal RNA", at positions 27 to 507 of the family's 1533-position model. The record is from RNAcentral.